Molecule: non-coding RNA, 701 nt
Organism: Zootermopsis nevadensis
Lineage: Eukaryota; Metazoa; Arthropoda; Insecta; Blattodea; Termopsidae
Source: RefSeq, a predicted model, not a curated record
CACAAAUUUUUCUAGUAGAUAUAUUUCGCAUAUGUAUAGCGCUUUUCUGAGUCUUUGAAAUUAUCUUUAGAUGCAGUCAUACCUAACACCGUAUUCAUUUAGGAUCCAUUUGAAUGUUAUUCUCCCGUCUACGUCUACUCCUCGAAAUGAAACCAGUUUUGCAAAUCAUAUGUACGAAGAUGUGGAUACUUGUGUUGUUAAACUUGAAGAAUCGUGUCAUCGACUGUAGAACUGUACAUAAAUAAUGCAAUAAGCCUAAGUGAAAUUUUAGUGCCGGAUCUUGAAUUUGGUCCUUUUAGGUAAGAAGUGGAUUGCUGGCACUGAGUGGAUGGAAUUUCUGCUUGCACUGCGUUCUUCAAGACACCCUAAAUCCUGGAAGGUAAGGAGGUGGGCCAUUCAUUUACUUCAAUCUGCUUUGAAAGACCUGCAGGUGGCGUGGGAUUUCUAGUCCUUACUACUCGUUUCGGUGUGACUAGGAGGAGCUGAAGACAACCACGAAUGAAGUGUGAUAUCCUGUCACUGGACCGACAUUUGAACGCGAGACUUCGCGAUUACGAAGCCGGAAUGCAAACAUUUAAGUCUUGACGUUCGGUACCCGGAAGGGAUUGAGAUGUAAGCUCCAACUGAGAUCUGAAGUGACGAGUGACUGAUCGAUCGGGCCUAUAACACGCUCCAGAGACGAUGGCGGAUGAGAAUGGACC